This is a long non-coding RNA of Egretta garzetta (little egret), 223 nucleotides long. RefSeq lists it as uncharacterized. The record is from RefSeq and is a predicted model, not a curated record. The transcript has 3 exons. Lineage: Eukaryota; Metazoa; Chordata; Aves; Pelecaniformes; Ardeidae.
UGCUGGAAACAGAAUGACUUCAACGAUACAGUUUGUGCCGAGGAGAUCCGGAUGUUCUAUGACUGCGUGGCAAAGGCAGAAGUUUCCAGCUACAUGAUAAAUUUGAAAUCAAAUCAGUUUCAAAAGCAGACUAAAGAAGGAGCGCAAGGAUCAAAAUGAGGACACCCUGUCACCCAGGGGAAACUUAACUUCAAGCAAAGCGAACAAGCUCCUAAGGAGGUUU